GUUAUAUGGUCAAGUGAAGAAGCGCAUACGGUGGAUGCCUUGGCAGUCAGAGGCGAUGAAAGACGUGGUAGCCUGCGAAAAGCUUCGGGGAGUCGGCAAACAGACUUUGAUCCGGAGAUGUCUGAAUGGGGGAACCCAGCCAUCAUAAGAUGGUUAUCUUGUACUGAAUACAUAGGUGCAAGA
Molecule: ribosomal RNA, 183 nt
Filed under: Pseudomonas sp. AU8050
Lineage: Bacteria; Pseudomonadati; Pseudomonadota; Gammaproteobacteria; Pseudomonadales; Pseudomonadaceae
Description: partial 23S ribosomal RNA
Rfam family: Bacterial large subunit ribosomal RNA
Source: RNAcentral